Molecule: ribosomal RNA, 403 nt
Filed under: uncultured bacterium
Lineage: Bacteria
Description: partial 16S ribosomal RNA
Rfam family: Bacterial small subunit ribosomal RNA
Source: RNAcentral
AUUGAACGCUGGCGGCAGGCCUAACACAUGCAAGUCGAGCGAGCGGCGGACGGGUGAGUAAUGUAUGGGGACUGCCCGAUAGAGGGGGAUAACUACUGGAAACGGUAGCUAAUACCGCAUACUAUCGGAUAACCCAUAUGGGAUUCGCUAGUAGGUGAGGUAAUGGCUCACCUAGGCUACGAUGCCUAGCUGGUCUGAGAGGCUGAUCAGCCACACUGGGACUGAGACACGGCCCAGACUCCUACGGAGGCAGCAGUAGGGAAUAUUGCGCAAUGGGCGAAAGCCUGAUGCAGCAAUGCCGCGUGUAUGAAGAAGGCCCUAGGGUUGUAAAGUACUUUCAGUCGGGAGGCGUUACCGAAAGAGAAAGCACCGGCUAACUCCGUGCCAGCAGCCGCGGUAAUUC